This 925-nucleotide ribosomal RNA is filed under the name uncultured bacterium. RNAcentral's name for it is "bacterial SSU rRNA". It matches the Rfam family "Bacterial small subunit ribosomal RNA", at positions 57 to 973 of the family's 1533-position model. The record is from RNAcentral.
GCAGUCGAGGGGUAACAGGGAGUGCUUGCACUCUGCUGACGACCGGCGCACGGGUGCGUAACGCGUAUGCAACCUACCUUCUACAGGGGGAUAGCCCAGAGAAAUUUGGAAUAAUACCCCAUACGAUCUUCGAUUGGCAUCGAUUGAAGAGGAAAACUUCGGUGGUAGAAGAUGGGCAUGCGUCCUAUUAGUUAGUUGGUGAGGUAACGGCUCACCAAGACAUCGAUAGGUAGGGGCCCUGAGAGGGGGAUCCCCCACACUGGUACUGAGACACGGACCAGACUCCUACGGGAGGCAGCAGUGAGGAAUAUUGGACAAUGGAGGCAACUCUGAUCCAGCCAUGCCGCGUGCAGGAAGACUGCCCUAUGGGUUGUAAACUGCUUUUAUACAGGAAGAAACCUACUUACGUGUAAGUAGCUGACGGUACUGUAAGAAUAAGGAUCGGCUAACUCCGUGCCAGCAGCCGCGGUAAUACGGAGGAUCCAAGCGUUAUCCGGAAUCAUUGGGUUUAAAGGGUCCGUAGGUGGUUAAUUAAGUCAGAGGUGAAAGCCUAUCGCUCAACGAUAGAACUGCCUUUGAUACUGAUUAACUUGAGUUAUUGUGAAGUAGUUAGAAUAUGUAGUGUAGCGGUGAAAUGCAUAGAUAUUACAUAGAAUACCGAUUGCGAAGGCAGAUUACUAACAAUACACUGACACUGAGGGACGAAAGCGUGGGUAGCGAACAGGAUUAGAUACCCUGGUAGUCCACGCCGUANACGAUGGUCACUAGCUGUUCGAUCAACAUUGGUUGGUUGAGUGGCUAAGCGAAAGUGAUAAGUGACCCACCUGGGGAGUACGCUCGNCAGAGUGAAACUCAAAGGAAUUGACGGGGGCCCGCACAAGCGGUGGAGCAUGUGGUUUAAUUCGAUGAUACGCGAGGAACCUUA